Molecule: ribosomal RNA, 300 nt
Filed under: uncultured Thermovibrio sp.
Lineage: Bacteria; Pseudomonadati; Aquificota; Aquificia; Desulfurobacteriales; Desulfurobacteriaceae
Description: bacterial SSU rRNA
Rfam family: Bacterial small subunit ribosomal RNA
Source: RNAcentral
GCGGCGGUAGUACGGGGGGGGCGAGCGUGUGCCGGGAUCACGGGGCGUAAAGGGCGCGGAGGGGGCCGGGGAAGGUGGGGGUGAAAGCCCGGGGCUCAACCCCGGGUCGGCCGUGGCAACUGCUGGGCGGGAGCACAGUAGAGGCGGGUGGAAUUCCGGGUGUAGCGGUGGAAUGCGUAGAGAUCCGGAAGAACACCGGUGGCGAAGGCGGCCCGCUGGGCUGUGACUCUUCGGAGUCUUCAAGCUGACGCUGAGGCGCGACAGCGUGGGGAGCAAACAGGAUUAGAUACCCCGGUAGUC